UCGUACAACGGAGGUGCGAGGGCUGUCGCUGUCCUUUGAAGGUCGUGCACGCUCGAGCGCUCUCUCACAUCCAUCUCACCCCUUUGUGCAUCGCCGCGUGGGCCCCCUCUUUGCGGAGAGGGUCUGCGUUUUCACAUAAAACUCGAUACGGUGUAGAAUGUCUUUUUGCGGUCACACGCAACCAAUA
This 187-nucleotide unclassified non-coding RNA is filed under the name uncultured Russula. Its description in RNAcentral is "sequence contains ITS1". The record is from RNAcentral. Lineage: Eukaryota; Fungi; Basidiomycota; Agaricomycetes; Russulales; Russulaceae.